GCUGCAACUCGCCUACAUGAAGUCGGAAUGCUAGUAAUCGCGGAUCAGCAUGCCGCGGUGAAUACGUUCCCGGGCCUUGUACACACCGCCCGUCACACCAUGGGAGUCGGUAACACCCGAAGCCUGUAGUCUAACCGCAAGGAGGACGCAGUCGAAGGUGGGAUUGAUGACUGGGGUGAAGUCGUAACAAGGUAAC
RNAcentral lists this ribosomal RNA (196 nucleotides) under uncultured bacterium. Its description in RNAcentral is "partial 16S ribosomal RNA". It matches the Rfam family "Bacterial small subunit ribosomal RNA", at positions 1304 to 1500 of the family's 1533-position model. The record is from RNAcentral.